This 183-nucleotide unclassified non-coding RNA is filed under the name soil metagenome. RNAcentral's name for it is "partial internal transcribed spacer 1". The record is from RNAcentral.
CCCAAAUAUGAAGGCCGAUGGGGCCAGCCCUUUGUUGGGUAUGCCCCGUCUGGCGCCAUAUUCACCCAUGUCUUUUUGCGUACUACUUGUUUCCUUGGUGGGUUCGCCCGCCAUUAGGACCUUUACUCAACCCCUUUUUUUUGCAAUUGCCAUCAGCGUCAGCAAAACAAUGUAAUCAAUUUA